AUCAUUAAAAAACCAACGUAGUGA
RNAcentral lists this non-coding RNA (24 nucleotides) under Gossypium hirsutum (cotton). The record is from RNAcentral. Lineage: Eukaryota; Viridiplantae; Streptophyta; Magnoliopsida; Malvales; Malvaceae.